This is a long non-coding RNA of Zootermopsis nevadensis, 1426 nucleotides long. RefSeq lists it as uncharacterized. The record is from RefSeq and is a predicted model, not a curated record. Lineage: Eukaryota; Metazoa; Arthropoda; Insecta; Blattodea; Termopsidae.
UUUUGUCCAGAGGGAUUUGAAUUGAUUUGUUUUAUCAUCACAGUGAGAUUGAUAGAAUUGGAGGGAGAUAAGACAGCGAUAAUGGACUGUGAGAACGUAACUAUUGACAUACAUUCCUUGUCUCUUGUUAGUUACUGGAUUUUGUAAUCCUCUCUUCACAGCUGUGCUUUCAGACAGUGGCUACGCUGUAAGGAAUUCUGACAACACUGUACGUAACACGUGUGUAACAAGCCUGCUCUGCGCGAGUUUCGUAAUCAGUAGGUAGUCGUUUCACUGUGGUGGUAGGAGCUGUGUGAACCAGAGGGAAAACUUAAGAACGGUUGGUAAUUCAAACAAACUCUCGUCCUGGACGGCCACCGACCGUAACUGAUAAGGGACACAUCUAAGAAGACGGAAAACAAGCACUGAUAAAAUUGUAUCUUAAUCGUCUUUCCAGAGAACGCAUUUCUACUGCAAGUUUCGACAGAUUACUGAAAUUAUUCUGCCUUUCAACGCACACACCAACAGAAGUACCAGCGACUACCACAAAGUCUCACGAUACAGGCGCCUUGAAACCUAUCACUGAAAAUAACCGGAGGUUUUGUAUGAUCUGAAGCUUUCACGGCGACUAAUGAAGAAGACACCAACGUUUCGACCCUGAGGACGACGACGAAGAUUGUUCUCGAAACGUCGGUUGAUAGCCCGAGAAGAAAUCACCAAACCGCCUGUUUUAUUCCUUUGCAAAUUUAUUUAAGCUGUAAGUUUUACUCAGUCUGAUAGGACAAUCUGAUCGUCCGCAUAUAUUAAUGAAUUUAGGGGUAUGUCACCAUAUAAAGUGGUUUGUUUUCAGUUGCAAUUGACAUUAACUUGAAACAAAACAAGGUUUGUGAUACAGGACAUCCUUAUCUAACUCCUUGUGAUAUUUCUGUGCAGUCCUCACUGUUUCUGAAUUUUAUUUUGAUUGUAAUCACUGUGUGGAUAUACAUAUUCUUAAUAGUUCCUAUUAAAUGUCUUGGUUUACAAGAUUUCUUAAAGUUUUACUUUGUUUACUGUGUCAAACGAUUUCUCUAAUUCGAUAAAACCUAUAUAUGCUGGUAUAUUACCCUGCCUGUGUUUAUAAAUGAUUUGGGAUACACACGAUCCACAACCGAUCGAUGUUUUCUGAACCCAUUCUGUUCUUUGAGGAGUCAGAUAUCAUCAUCAAACGUUGUGUGAUCAUUUUAACACAUAUUUUGUGUCCCGUAUUUAAGAAAAUUAUUCCCCUGUAAUUUUUUUCAACUCUACUUGUCACAUUUUUUAUAUAUAUGGGGACUUUAACUGCUAUUCUCCACUCUUCUGGUAUAUUGUCAUAUAUCCAAUAUAUAUUUAUAAAAUCAAAGAAUUUUACAAGAAAACUGUUUAGUACAUACUUAAAAAGUUCAUUAUUAAAGCCAUCUGACCCCAGUGA